Molecule: long non-coding RNA, 694 nt
Organism: Chanos chanos (milkfish)
Lineage: Eukaryota; Metazoa; Chordata; Actinopteri; Gonorynchiformes; Chanidae
Exons: 3
Source: RefSeq, a predicted model, not a curated record
AUUUUGAAAGGUUGGAGGAAAGUGGCCGACCGAGACAAAAAGAUACCAAAAAUCCGUCCGGUGGUUUAGUCAACUUCAGGGUGGUUUCAGGUUUGAGUACACAGGUCUUGACGUUGUCCAGCUACGGUUUCUACGGUUACACAGCAACUCUGCUUUGCAAAGUAUGACCAUAGCCUGUCCUGAUGGGUACAACCGUACAAACAACCAGAACCAUGGACUCCACAGAGUUCUUCAUUUUUUAGGGGACAAAGAGACAGAAAUAGGUCCAUCUCAUGCAAAAGUAUCAAGAGAAGGCUGUGAGGUAAACGUGCAGGUGAGAGUGGAAGGCAAUACAGAGAUUCACAGGGGAGAUAUGGAGCUUCUGCCUCUGAGAGAUUUUCGUAUGGAGGGCUGGGGAGACCACUGGGACAGGGACGUCACCGCUCUCCUGGGACCAUUGUGCUUUUUGUAACACAUCUCCACAGAGAAGAGCUACUUCAGUCCUCAACAUAAAGCACAGAUGCUACAAGUUUUCUCUCUGUGGGGCGAUGGCAGAGGGAAUACCGGUCAAAAUGAGACAUCAGAGUACUUGAACUGUAUAGUUUUCUCACAUUAUCAAAUGGAAAUGAGCCUCAAACUGAGAUUUAUGAUAAUCUCACAGGUUUAUAGACAAAGAAUUUGCAUCAAAAUGAUGUUUAUUUUGGCAUGUCAGUGA